AGAGUUUGAUCCUGGCUCAGGACGAACGCUGGCGGCGUGCUUAACACAUGCAAGUCGAACGGUAAGGCCCCAGCUUGCUGGGGUACACGAGUGGCGAACGGGUGAGUAACACGUGGGUGACCUGCCCCGCACUUCGGGAUAAGCCUGGGAAACUGGGUCUAAUACCGGAUAGGACCGCACCGUGAGGGUGUGGUGGAAAGUUUUUCGGUGUGGGAUGGGCCCGCGGCCUAUCAGCUUGUUGGUGGGGUAAUGGCCUACCAAGGCGGCGACGGGUAGCCGGCCUGAGAGGGUGGACGGCCACAUUGGGACUGAGACACGGCCCAGACUCCUACGGGAGGCAGCAGUGGGGAAUAUUGCACAAUGGGCGGAAGCCUGAUGCAGCGACGCCGCGUGGGGGAUGACGGCCUUCGGGUUGUAAACUCCUUUCACCAUCGACGAAGGUUUUCUGACGGUAGAUGGAGAAGAAGCACCGGCUAACUACGUGCCAGCAGCCGCGGUAAUACGUAGGGUGCGAGCGUUGUCCGGAAUUACUGGGCGUAAAGAGCUCGUAGGUGGUUUGUCGCGUCGUCUGUGAAAUUCCGGGGCUUAACUCCGGGCGUGCAGGCGAUACGGGCAUAACUUGAGUACUGUAGGGGAGACUGGAAUUCCUGGUGUAGCGGUGAAAUGCGCAGAUAUCAGGAGGAACACCGGUGGCGAAGGCGGGUCUCUGGGCAGUAACUGACGCUGAGGAGCGAAAGCAUGGGUAGCGAACAGGAUUAGAUACCCUGGUAGUCCAUGCCGUAAACGGUGGGCGCUAGGUGUAGGGGUCUUCCACGACUUCUGUGCCGUAGCUAACGCAUUAAGCGCCCCGCCUGGG
Molecule: ribosomal RNA, 856 nt
Filed under: uncultured bacterium
Lineage: Bacteria
Description: bacterial SSU rRNA
Rfam family: Bacterial small subunit ribosomal RNA
Source: RNAcentral